RNAcentral lists this ribosomal RNA (461 nucleotides) under uncultured Smithella sp. RNAcentral's name for it is "bacterial SSU rRNA". It matches the Rfam family "Bacterial small subunit ribosomal RNA", at positions 925 to 1382 of the family's 1533-position model. The record is from RNAcentral. Lineage: Bacteria; Pseudomonadati; Thermodesulfobacteriota; Syntrophia; Syntrophales; Smithellaceae.
ACAAGCGGUGGAGUAUGUGGUUUAAUUCGACGCAACGCGCAGAACCUUACCUAGACUUGACAUCCCGGGAUUUUCUGGAAACAGAGAAGUGCUUUAGCAAUAAAGAACCCGGUGACAGGUGCUGCAUGGCUGUCGUCAGCUCGUGUCGUGAGAUGUUGGGUUAAGUCCCGCAACGAGCGCAACCCUUGUCUUUAAUUGCCAUCAUUUAGUUGGGCACUUUAAAGAGACUGCCGGUGUUAAGCCGGAGGAAGGUGGGAUGACGUCAAGUCCUCAUGGCCUUUAUGCCCAGGGCUACACACGUGCUACAAUGGGUGGUACAAAGAGAUGCCAACUCGCGAGAGCGCGCCAAUCUCAGAAAGCCAUCCUCAGUUCGGAUUGGAGUCUGCAACUCGACUCCUAUGAAGUUGGAAUCGCUAGUAAUCGCGGAUCAGCACGCCGCGGUGAAUACGUUCCCGGGCCUU